RNAcentral lists this ribosomal RNA (464 nucleotides) under uncultured bacterium. RNAcentral's name for it is "partial 16S ribosomal RNA". It matches the Rfam family "Bacterial small subunit ribosomal RNA", at positions 339 to 795 of the family's 1533-position model. The record is from RNAcentral.
CUACGGGGGGCAGCAGUGGGGAAUAUUGCACAAUGGGCGCAAGCCUGAUGCAGCCAUGCCGCGUGUAUGAAGAAGGCCUUCGGGUUGUAAAGUACUUUCAGCGGGGAGGAAGGGAGUAAAGUUAAUACCUUUGCUCAUUGACGUUACCCGCAGAAGAAGCACCGGCUAACUCCGUGCCAGCAGCCGCGGUAAUACGGAGGGUGCAAGCGUUAAUCGGAAUUACUGGGCGUAAAGCGUACGCAGGCGGUUUGUUAAGUCAGAUGUGAAAUCCCCGGGCUCAACCUGGGAACUGCAUCUGAUACUGGCAAGCUUGAGUCUCGUAGAGGGGGGCAGAAUUCCAGGUGUAGCGGUGAAAUGCGUAGAGAUCUGGAGGAAUACCGGUGGCGAAGGCGGCCCCCUGGACGAAGACUGACGCUCAGGUGCGAAAGCGUGGGGAGCAAUCAGGAUUAGAUACCCGGGUAGUC